ACUUUUGUGGUGUAAUUUCUAAACACGUCUGGCUAUGAAUCAGAAGGUUCAGAGUUCACGCCCCUGCAAGGGCA
This 74-nucleotide transfer RNA is filed under the name Stegodyphus mimosarum. It matches the Rfam family "tRNA". Rfam says of the family: Transfer RNA (tRNA) molecules are approximately 80 nucleotides in length. Their secondary structure includes four short double-helical elements and three loops (D, anti-codon, and T loops). The record is from Rfam by way of RNAcentral. Lineage: Eukaryota; Metazoa; Arthropoda; Arachnida; Araneae; Eresidae.